This 772-nucleotide non-coding RNA is filed under the name Opisthorchis sudarikovi. Lineage: Eukaryota; Metazoa; Platyhelminthes; Trematoda; Opisthorchiida; Opisthorchiidae. The record is from RNAcentral.
GAGUAAUUUAGUUUUGGUUAUAGGAGGGUUGUGAGAGGGUGCCACAUAGUAGGGGUUUAUGGUGUUUCCUUGAUUACUAAUGUUAUGGGUUAGACUAGUGGUUAGAUUUUAUUUAUUGGGCGAGAGCUUGAGUGAGCCUUUUCAUGGAUUAGGUGGUUAAUUCGCAGUGCCAGCAGCUGCGGUUAUCCUGUUAGCCUUUCCUUUUUGUUGGUUUAAAUGGUUUGUGAGUGAUUGUGAAUUUGUGGGGGGUAGAAUCCUUAUUUUCUCUUUUUAUGCUCUCACAGGUUCUUUUGAAGGCUAUUAGAAGAAGAGGAUUAGAGACCCUAGUAUUGAGUCUGUGGCUAUUUUGUGACUCUAUAGUUUGAACUAAAAAAACUUGGCAGCCGAUGAUUUUCUUCCGGGGGAGCGUGUGGCGUAAGAGAUGAUCCACUUAUAUCUUUGCCGUUUCUAUAUGGGUUAGUGUACGUCCGGUUUAAUACCUCUGAUUAGUGUCUUUAGGCGUAUUUCAGCUGAUUUAGGCCAGGUCGAUGUGCUGCUAAUGAGGCGGUGUCUGUGCGCUACUUUAGUAAAAGGCAGUGAGGUGAAGACUUCUUGUGUAUUAAGGACUCGGGAGUAGGUGUGUUAUGUGGUGAUACAUCGAAUGGGUUGAUUUAGUCGGGGUACACACCGCCCGUCAACCAGGAUGAUUAAUUUUGGUAAGUCGUAACAUGGUAAUGUUGGGGGAACCGGGCGUUAGUUGGUGGGGAGUGUAUUUUCUUUAUCGUAAAGCUUA